ACACAUACAUAUAAAUACAUGCAUUCAUAUGUAUAUUAUUUACGUCCGUUGAAGUACUAUAUUUAAUUUUUAAUAACAUACAAACGCACAUACAGUUAUUAAGGACAAAGAUAAAGCGGAGGAGUUGUCGUCACUUAGCAGAAAUUAGUUAAAAAAAGCAAACGCCUCAACUGAUGAAAUUGGUUUUAAAGUUAACGCGCCCAGUUUCAUCGAAGUAUAAUACAUACAUAUACAUAAAAUUUAAGCGCUCUCCUAGCAAAUAAAACAACAAUAAUAAUAUGUAUGUAUAUGAAAACAAACGUUUGAUAUAAUAAAAUCCAGUAGCAGUUCAGAUUUUGCACAAUUAGUGAACAAACAAAGUAACAAAAUUAAAUAGCAACAAAUGUGCGAAACGUUAUAUAAGAAAGCUUUAAUGUAAUAGAUUUUUAAUUAUAAAAAAAAAAAACAUUUUAUAACUUUGAAGAAAUUACCGAAUUCUGCUGCUUUUUAAAGUAAACUCUAACAAAAACAAUUGAAUCCGUUAAAAAUAAUUAAUUUGGAAUUCUGUUUUAAGGUUUAUGCAUUGCAAUACUUUUGAUUACUUAUUUUAUUACAUACAAACAAACACAUACAUAGUUAAAAGAGUAAAAACAUUUAAACAAACCCACUUUACAAAAACAACACACAAAAGCAAUGUUUAACCAACUGUAAAUCCACCAAGCCGUAUUGUAUUAUUGUAGCGAAUAUUUAGAAGAAGAACAGAAAAACAUUUGAAACUGCAUCGUUUAUAUGAAAAAAAUUAUAUACAUACAAAUAUAUAAAAUUAAAAUGAUAACAGCGGGCAGGCAGUGCGUACAUUUGGUGCCAAUGGACGAUUUUCGUUGUAAAGUCGUUGUAAGUAACUAAUUGUUAAAAUAAAGGUAAAAUAACGUACUAAA
Molecule: long non-coding RNA, 917 nt
Organism: Bactrocera tryoni
Lineage: Eukaryota; Metazoa; Arthropoda; Insecta; Diptera; Tephritidae
Exons: 2
Source: RefSeq, a predicted model, not a curated record